RNAcentral lists this ribosomal RNA (253 nucleotides) under uncultured bacterium. RNAcentral describes it as "partial 16S ribosomal RNA". It matches the Rfam family "Bacterial small subunit ribosomal RNA", at positions 524 to 776 of the family's 1533-position model. The record is from RNAcentral.
GACGUAGGGCGCGAGCGUUGUCCGGAUUUAUUGGGCGUAAAGAGCUUGUAGGCGGCUUGUCGCGUCGACUGUGAAAACCCGAGGCUUAACCUCGGGCCUGCAGUUGAUACGGGCAGACUAGAGUUCGGUAGGGGAGACUGGAAUUCCUGGUGUAGCGGUGAAAUGCGCAGAUAUCAGGAGGAACACCGGUGGCGAAGGCGGGUCUCUGGGCCGAUACUGACGCUGAGGCGCGAAAGCGUGGGGAGCGAACAGG